Molecule: ribosomal RNA, 23 nt
Filed under: Descomyces sp. TRAPPE14304
Lineage: Eukaryota; Fungi; Basidiomycota; Agaricomycetes; Agaricales; Bolbitiaceae
Description: partial 28S ribosomal RNA
Source: RNAcentral
CAGGUAGGACCCAUAUAGGAAAA